Long non-coding RNA from Dicentrarchus labrax (European seabass), 361 nucleotides. RefSeq lists it as uncharacterized. NCBI's taxonomy places the organism in Eukaryota, Metazoa, Chordata, Actinopteri, Moronidae. The record is from RefSeq and is a predicted model, not a curated record. The transcript is spliced from 3 exons.
CAGUACUAUCAGAGAGAGUCCUACAGAGUCACAGAGCUCAAUAUCAACAUUUUAUUUCUGGAAGAGGCCUGACGAGCUUUAACAGAACCCACAAGAAUGAAAGAAAAUGCAGCUAUUUCCUGUGAAGUUGGGACACUCCGAUGGCUGACAUUCCUGCAUCCAAACCUCAAGUGUCACGGUCCUUUGGAGACGCCAAUCUCAGAGUGUCUGAAUGACCGGCAGCACAUCAUUCACUGUCAGCUCAGCCCAGAGUCUACUGCCGUACCUCAGCUUCUCGACCAGCGCCACUGUCCAGUCCACUGCCAUCGAUAGACAUCAGUCAGGAAUGUCACCGGGUCAGAUCUGAGGCAUUUGGCAGACA